UCACUGUUGAGGAGUCCCACAAUAGGACGAAACGGUCGUCCAGUGC
Molecule: non-coding RNA, 46 nt
Filed under: Schistosoma bovis
Lineage: Eukaryota; Metazoa; Platyhelminthes; Trematoda; Strigeidida; Schistosomatidae
Also listed under: 1 other name
Source: RNAcentral